RNAcentral lists this microRNA precursor (187 nucleotides) under Glycine max (soybean). RNAcentral describes it as "miR5780c stem-loop (gma-MIR5780c)". The record is from miRBase by way of RNAcentral. Lineage: Eukaryota; Viridiplantae; Streptophyta; Magnoliopsida; Fabales; Fabaceae.
UGUUGUUCUGAGUCUCUAAUAUAUUAAAAGUUUUGUUUUGGGCCCCUACCGCCAAUUAAGUGAUGACAUGACAUCAUUCCAAUGACUGAUAUAUAUUGGAAGAGCUGUUGAGAUGGUGCCACACCAUCACUAAAUGAUGACAAGGAUCCCAAACAAAACUUUUAAUAUAUCAGGGACUUGGAACAAU